This 253-nucleotide ribosomal RNA is filed under the name uncultured bacterium. RNAcentral's name for it is "partial 16S ribosomal RNA". It matches the Rfam family "Bacterial small subunit ribosomal RNA", at positions 524 to 776 of the family's 1533-position model. The record is from RNAcentral.
UACGUAGGGGGCAAGCGUUGUCCGGAAUCAUUGGGCGUAAAGAGCGUGCAGGCGGCCAGUUAAGUCCGCUGUGAAAUCUCGAGGCUCAACUUCGAGCUGUCGGUGGAAACUGUCUGGCUAGAGUCCGGAAGAGGAGAAUGGAAUUCCUGGUGUAGCGGUGAAAUGCGCAGAUAUCAGGAAGAACACCCGUGGCGAAGGCGGUUCUCUGGGACGGUACUGACGCUGAGGCGCGAAAGCGUGGGGAGCGAACAGG